CAAGUCGUACGAGAGUUUUUAACUCAAGUGGCGGACGGGUGAGUAACACGUAAGAAUUUGCCUUUAGGAGGGGGACAACAACUGGAAACGGCUGCUAAUACCCCAUAUGCUUUCGAGUGAAAUGGAUUUUUCCGCCUAAAGAGAAGCUUGCGGCUGAUUAGCUUGUUGGUGAGGUAAUGGCUCACCAAGGCGACGAUCAGUAUCUGGUUUGAGAGGACGAUCAGACACACUGGAACUGAGACACGGUCCAGACUCCUACGGGAGGCAGCAGUGGGGAAUUUUCCGCAAUGGGCGAAAGCCUGACGGAGCAAUACCGCGUGAGGGAUGACGGCCUAUGGGUUGUAAACCUCUUUUUUCAGGGAGGAAUCAAAUGACGUGUACCUGAAGAAUAAGCAUCGGCUGACUCCGUGCCAGCAGCCGCGGUAAGACGGAGGAUGCAAGUGUUAUCCGGAAUCACUGGGCGUAAAGCGUCUGUAGGUGGUCCAAUAAGUCAACUGUUAAAUCUUGAGGCUCAACCUCAAAAUCGCAGUCGAAACUAUUAGACUAGAGUAUAGUAGGGGUAAAGGGAAUUUCCAGUGGAGCGGUGAAAUGCGUAGAGAUUGGAAAGAACACCGAUGGCGAAGGCACUUUACUGGGCUAUUACUAACACUCAGAGACGAAAGCUAGGGUAGCAAAUGGGAUUAGAUACCCCAGUAGUCCUAGCCGUAAACAAUGGAUACUAGAUGUUGAACAGAUCGACCUGUGCAGUAUCAAAGCUAACGCGUUAAGUAUCCCGCCUGGGAAGUAUGCUCGCAAGAGUGAAACUCAAAGGAAUUGACGGGGGCCCGCACAAGCGGUGGAGCAUGUGGUUUA
This 852-nucleotide ribosomal RNA is filed under the name uncultured bacterium. RNAcentral describes it as "bacterial SSU rRNA". It matches the Rfam family "Bacterial small subunit ribosomal RNA", at positions 58 to 948 of the family's 1533-position model. The record is from RNAcentral.